CAGAACAAACUGGAACCUUUAACUAUUAAUUCAUGAAUGAUUCGUAAAUUUAAAUCUCAAAUUGCGUUUCCUUAAUGAUAUAAGAAAAUAAAAAAUUGAUACAAUCAGUUAUUGAAAAAAAUCCUUCGCAAUUUCAAUUAUAACAGCAAUUCCGGGUAUAUAUAAAUCCCAGAACAUAAAUUGGUACACAAUAUUAUGGGGUAGUUUAUCUGUAUACGAUGUACAUAAGUAAUUUUCAGGAAAUUCUCAUGUUUCCGUUUUAUUUUUACCAUUUUUUUUGAAUAGCAAUUCUGAUCGAGCAUGACAUGUACUGUCCAGAAUAGUAGCUAGAAUAAAGGAGAGACAUAUGUAUAUCAAGACAUAUGUAUAUAUAGAUAGUUAUAGUUUAUAUAUAGAUAGCUAUAGUUAGAUCUGUACAUGUUUAUUAAAUUAUUUAAUAAACAUCAACCUUCUUAUACACUUCAAUCAUAUUCUACAAACAUAUUCUACGAAUUUGACUAAAAAAAGGAGCCGAUGAAUCCGCGAAAAAGUUAAGUACUCCUAAGUUCUAUAUUGUUUCUGAUUAUUAUGUCUUUGUCUCAUGGAAUAGGCCGAAUCCCGAAUACUUUUAUGGUAUCCAACCGGAGUCGAAUACAGAAUAUCAUAAUAAUGGUAGAAAUUGAAUAAUUUUCGUUUGAUAUUCUAUAACAAAAUUCCAUAAGUCUAAGUAUAAUUUAUCAAUUCCUUUCCAUCUGUUGCAAAUUCUAAUUUGAGUAAAAAAAAUUUUCUUUAUUCCCUUGUUCAUACAUAUUUCACACAUUCCAUAUAUUAGGUAAAAUUUCAUGUGAUUCAGUAAACAGAAUAUAAAUUCCAUCAUUGCUAGGCUCUCGAUCCCUAUGAUUCGAUGAAGAAUGAGCAAAUAAUGGGUUUUUGUCUAUAAAUGGGAAAUUAAAAAAAUGCUUGGGGGUGGAAAUGAGGCAAUAUCUACAAUACCCGGAUUGAAUCAGAUACAAUUUGAAGGGU
RNAcentral lists this long non-coding RNA (1002 nucleotides) under Fragaria vesca (wild strawberry). RNAcentral describes it as "long non-coding RNA (FVES_LNC004387)". Lineage: Eukaryota; Viridiplantae; Streptophyta; Magnoliopsida; Rosales; Rosaceae. The record is from RNAcentral.